UCCCUGAUGGUCCAGUGGUUAAGAUUUGGUGCUUUCACUCCUGUGGUUUAGGUUCAAUUCCUUGUCAGGGAA
This 72-nucleotide transfer RNA is filed under the name Bos taurus (domestic cattle). It matches the Rfam family "tRNA". From Rfam's summary of the family: Transfer RNA (tRNA) molecules are approximately 80 nucleotides in length. Their secondary structure includes four short double-helical elements and three loops (D, anti-codon, and T loops). RNAcentral also lists the same sequence under 5 other names. The record is from Rfam by way of RNAcentral. Lineage: Eukaryota; Metazoa; Chordata; Mammalia; Artiodactyla; Bovidae.